GAUGAACGCUGGCGGCGUGCCUAAUACAUGAAAGUCGAGCGAACGGACGAGAAGCUUGCUUCUCUGAUGUUAGCGGCGGACGGGUGAGUAACACGUGGAUAACCUACCUAUAAGACUGGGAUAACUUCGGGAAACCGGAGCUAAUACCGGAUAAUAUUUUGAACCGCAUGGUUCAAAAGUGAAAGACGGUCUUGCUGUCACUUAUAGAUGGAUCCGCGCUGCAUUAGCUAGUUGGUAAGGUAACGGCUUACCAAGGCAACGAUGCAUAGCCGACCUGAGAGGGUGAUCGGCCACACUGGAACUGAGACACGGUCCAGACUCCUACGGGAGGCAGCAGUAGGGAAUAUUCCGCAAUGGGCGAAAGCCUGACGGAGCAACGCCGCGUGAGUGAUGAAGGUCUUCGGAUCGUAAAACUCUGUUAUUAGGGAAGAACAUAUGUGUAAGUAACUGUGCACAUCUUGACGGUACCUAAUCAGAAAGCCACGGCUAACUACGUG
RNAcentral lists this ribosomal RNA (497 nucleotides) under uncultured bacterium. RNAcentral describes it as "partial 16S ribosomal RNA". It matches the Rfam family "Bacterial small subunit ribosomal RNA", at positions 28 to 507 of the family's 1533-position model. The record is from RNAcentral.